Molecule: RNA transcript, 2178 nt
Organism: Micropterus salmoides (largemouth bass)
Lineage: Eukaryota; Metazoa; Chordata; Actinopteri; Centrarchiformes; Centrarchidae
Gene: terf2
Gene name: telomeric repeat binding factor a
Exons: 13
Source: RefSeq, a predicted model, not a curated record
CUAAAGCCUUGAUCAAAUAUCGUCGCCUUCAGUUUGACUGACAGAUCACGAUUAUGCUUGAAUUCAUUUUUUAUCCUAAUCCUGCCGUUAUUAAUGUGUAUCUUACGCGUUUAAAUGGUUACCGUGGUUGCGCCAGAAGCUGGGAGGAAGCGCUGCCUGAAAAGCAAAACUCAGAGAACACAAGCCCUAGUAUUUUGCAGCUUUGUUGUGGCGCGGCGCUGUCUCUACCGAGAAGUCAUGAUGGCAGCAAGGGACAUUUUACAAACAGAGCAAAUUGACUACGAGCCAGUGGUGAACCGCUGGCUCAUAGACUAUUACUUUUUUCUAGCUCAAGAGAUGUUUCAAAAGGACCAAUACGCGGACUUCUGUGGGUUAAGAGACAUACUGGGCUGUGUCAUCGAUCGUCCUGUGGAGCGCACUGAUACCAUGGAAACAAAGAUUCUAGUAUUGAAGUUUCUCUGCUGGAUACAUGAGGGUGAAAGACCUGGUGCAUUCUGUGAUUCUGACACGUCAGUAAGUCCUCUGGAAUCAGCCUUAAUAUUGCUGGAACGUAUGAAUCAGAAAUGCAGUAUUCCACCUCAGUAUUUCAAGAAUGUAUGCACUUCACUUAGAGAAAUGAUCGUUGGGAUUUUCAUUAAGAACAAGGACUUUGACAGAGCAAAAGCGGUGCUGAACAAACACUUUCCCAAACAAAUGGUUGGCAAGAAAGCUAUAUUCAGAGCUCUCAUCAGUCAGAAGAGUAACGCACAUGAAGUCAUCGAGCAGAUCGACUUCAAGCGGUUUAAGGAGGAGAUGUUGACCUUUUGCCAGACGCUCUGCCCAGUCAGUGUUCCCUUUCUCCACAAGGCUGCAAAACAACUUGCUGAUGAAAGACUUGCAAAUCCAGACAAGGCAGCUGUACCUGAUGAUCAAGACAAACCUGGCCCGUCCUGUAGUACACAACCAAACGGAGUCCAGUUUGUACUCUCUAAACAUACAAUUAUCCAGAAGACCAGCCUUGAGGCAGCCUACACAGUUUUAGCUUCAGGUUCUGAUGAGAGAACAUUUGCUCAGCUGGAGGAAGAAGUGGAAGAAGAGAAGCAGGCAAGGAGAGAAGAUCUUUCCCUGCGCCUCUCGCCUACUCCCGAGAAGGGCACCAAGCGGGACUCGGAGCAGGAUGGGCUAUUUCAGAGAGACUCAGGCAGCCCACUGGAAGCUUCUCCAGCAGACCAACCACAACAAACAGAUGCUGUUUCUCAAACGCAGGCAGGUUCGCUCUCAAAGACGCCCCCAGUGCGGGGGAACAGGAGGCUUUACACUGUGGCACGACUGGUGGUCGAGCCGGACAGCCAAGGGAGCUCGCAGUGCACAACAGCGUCUCAGGAACUGGAGGCUGAAGUCAGAAGAGAGGAACCACUGCAAGUACAGACAACACCCAAUAACCCGGUAACAGAAAAUGAGGUUACCCCACCCACAUGGAAGCGCUCCCGACAAGCCACCAAAAUAUGCGCCAGAGCCUCUACUAGUUUGGCAGAGUUAUCCGCAGACAGUGAGGAGUCGUCUGGCUCUGUAGCCAGUGGGGAAACUUGUGUGGGAAAAUCCCAUAACCAGUCCAACGGUUCGCUCAGCAGGACUCCAGAUAAUACAGGUGACAUCCAUAUCCUAGAUUCUUCACACAGCUCACCCGAACUCUCUGACCCUGUGCCUCAAACGAGCUCCACCCCUCACAAGGACUCCGCUCAAGACAAAGGUCCUUCCCACUCAAAAUGGAAACAGCUAUACAAUAAUGCAAAGGAGAGUAAGGAUACAUGGAGCGAUGAAGAGUCGUAUUUCACCACCAGAAAGAAGAGCAGCAAUACUUCAAAUGUAUCAGGAUUGCACAACCAGAGCACCAUUUCAAAUUCAGGCCACAGGAAGAGACAUGAGCUUUGCAGCUUUACAACUGGCUGUGCCUAACCAAUCGUCACCCCUAAUGCCUCAACCCAUCAGCCAAUCAGAGGCAGCGUAGGGCGGGUCUUUUUCUAGUCCGCUACACUGCGGAGUCUGACAGCUGAAUGCAUGAGGACGAAGUGGAGUGAGAGCGAGACUCAGAAGUUAAGAGAAGGUGUAAAAAAAUUUGGCGAGGGCAACUGGAGUAAGAUAAAGGCGUAUUACUCCUUCACUGAUCGAACAAAUGUCAACUUAAAGGACAGGUGGAGG